RNAcentral lists this ribosomal RNA (481 nucleotides) under uncultured bacterium. Its description in RNAcentral is "bacterial SSU rRNA". It matches the Rfam family "Bacterial small subunit ribosomal RNA", at positions 48 to 509 of the family's 1533-position model. The record is from RNAcentral.
CUAACACAUGCAAGUCGAGCGGUAGCGGGCCUGACCACUCUCGAGUGGUUCAGGCGCCGACGAGCGGCGGACGGGUGCGUAACACGUAGGAAUCUGCCCGGUAGUGGGGGAUAGCCCGGAGAAAUUCGGAUUAAUACCGCAUACGCCCUAAGGGGGAAAGCAGGGGAUCUUCGGACCUUGCGCUAUCGGAUGAGCCUGCGUCGGAUUAGCUUGUUGGUGGGGUAAAGGCCUACCAAGGCGACGAUCCGUAGCUGGUCUGAGAGGAUGAUCAGCCACACUGGGACUGAGACACGGCCCAGACUCCUACGGGAGGCAGCAGUGGGGAAUAUUGCACAAUGGGCGAAAGCCUGAUGCAGCCAUGCCGCGUGUGUGAAGAAGGCCCUAGGGUUGUAAAGCACUUUCAGUGGGGAGGAAAGGUCCAAGGUUAAUACCCUUUGGCUGUGACGUUACCCACAGAAGAAGCACCGGCUAACUCCGUGCC